This 384-nucleotide ribosomal RNA is filed under the name uncultured bacterium. RNAcentral's name for it is "bacterial SSU rRNA". It matches the Rfam family "Bacterial small subunit ribosomal RNA", at positions 28 to 417 of the family's 1533-position model. The record is from RNAcentral.
GACGAACGCUGGCGGCGUGCUUAACACAUGCAAGUCGAGCGGUAAGGCCCUUCGGGUACACGAGCGGCGAACGGGUGAGUAACACGUGGGUGACCUGCCCUUAGCUCUGGGAUAAGCCUGGGAAACUGGGUCUAAUACCGGAUAUGACCUCAUGACGCAUGUUGUGGGGUGGAAAGCCUUGUGCGGCUAGGGAUGGGCCCGCGGCCUAUCAGCUUGUUGGUGGGGUGAUGGCCACCAAGGCGACGACGGGUAGCCGGCCUGAGAGGGCGACCGGCCACACUGGGACUGAGACACGGCCCAGACUCCUACGGGAGGCAGCAGUGGGGAAUCUUGCGCAAUGGGCGAAAGCUUGACGCAGCGACGCCGCGUGAGGGAUGACGGCCU